This 460-nucleotide ribosomal RNA is filed under the name uncultured bacterium. Its description in RNAcentral is "partial 16S ribosomal RNA". It matches the Rfam family "Bacterial small subunit ribosomal RNA", at positions 338 to 795 of the family's 1533-position model. The record is from RNAcentral.
CCUACGGGAGGCAGCAGUGAGGAAUAUUGGUCAAUGGCCGUAAGGCUGAACCAGCCAAGUCGCGUGAAGGAAGAAGGAUCUAUGGUUUGUAAACUUCUUUUAUAGGGGAAUAAAGGUAUCCACGUGUGGAUAUUUGCAUGUACCCUAUGAAUAAGCAUCGGCUAACUCCGUGCCAGCAGCCGCGGUAAUACGGAGGAUGCGAGCGUUAUCCGGAUUUAGUGGGGUUAAAGGGUGCGUAGGUUGUUUUUUAAGUCAGCGGUGAAAGUUUGUGGCUCAACCAUAAAAUUGCCGUUGAAACUGGAAGACUUGAGUGUGUUUGAGGUAGGCGGAAUGCGUGGUGUAGCGGUGAAAUGCAUAGAUAUCACGCAGAACUCCGAUGGCGAAGGCAGCUUACUAGGCCAUAACUGACACUGAAGCACGAAAGCGUGGGGAUUAAACAGGAUUAGAUACCCGGGUAGUC